AUAGUUAGGUUAAAACAUUAAUUUUCACCAAUUGUUUCAGUUGGAGUCUUGCAUCUUCAAAAUUAAAUAUGCUAGACUUGUAACGUUUCCACUAUUUUUCUAUUUUGACAUGUGUGUUUUUCUCUUCUAAUUUGAGUAACUUAUUUGUUAUUCUUUAUGUUUGUUUUUCUUUUUGUUACUAAAGAUAAUAAUAGUUAAAAAAGAAGAUAAUAAUAGUUCAAACAAACUAGUGAUUUUAAUUUAUUAAAAUAUCCACUAUUAAUCUAAUAUUCAUCUGAAUUUUCUGAUUUGAUUUUUUCGCCUAAUUCACUCUUUUAUUUAUAACUAAACUACUAUAUCAUUUUAUAUUUAAACAAAAAAUAUUAAAUAUAUUUUGGACCAAAAUAUUUUAAAAAAUUAAAUAUAUGUUAGCACAUAAAUUUGCUUUAGGCCACGAAAUCUACUGGGACGGCACUGAUGUGCAUCAUACCUC
This 472-nucleotide long non-coding RNA is filed under the name Brassica napus (rape). RNAcentral's name for it is "long non-coding RNA (BNAP_LNC006562)". Lineage: Eukaryota; Viridiplantae; Streptophyta; Magnoliopsida; Brassicales; Brassicaceae. The record is from RNAcentral.